This 88-nucleotide transfer RNA is filed under the name Blautia sp. BCRC 81119. Its description in RNAcentral is "tRNA-Ser". It matches the Rfam family "tRNA". From Rfam's summary of the family: Transfer RNA (tRNA) molecules are approximately 80 nucleotides in length. Their secondary structure includes four short double-helical elements and three loops (D, anti-codon, and T loops). Further hydrogen bonds mediate the characteristic L-shaped molecular structure. tRNAs have two regions of fundamental functional importance: the anti-codon, which is responsible for specific mRNA codon recognition, and the 3' end, to which the tRNAs corresponding amino acid is attached (by aminoacyl-tRNA synthetases). tRNAs cope with the degeneracy of the genetic code in two manners: having more than one tRNA (with a specific anti-codon) for a particular amino acid; and 'wobble' base-pairing, i.e. permitting non-standard base-pairing at the 3rd anti-codon position. Lineage: Bacteria; Bacillati; Bacillota; Clostridia; Lachnospirales; Lachnospiraceae. The record is from RNAcentral.
GGAGUGUUGGCAGAGCAGGCUAAUUGCACUGGAUUGCUAAUCCAGCGUCGCGUAUCGCGGCACAAAGGUUCAAAUCCUUUACACUCCG